This 246-nucleotide long non-coding RNA is filed under the name Bos taurus (domestic cattle). RNAcentral's name for it is "long non-coding RNA NONBTAT018782". Lineage: Eukaryota; Metazoa; Chordata; Mammalia; Artiodactyla; Bovidae. The record is from RNAcentral.
GGGCUUGCUAUUCUUCUUGUAUUAACAAAGCUGUCCAGGUAUUUCUUCCCAUUAGUAAUUUUCAUAAAAUACAUAUUAAACUCUGUAAUUUAAUAUGAUUUAAAACUUUUAAUAAACAUGUCUAGAGUUUAAGAUUUAAGACUUUAAAAAGAGUUCACACAGGACUGGUUUCUCUGUGAUUAAGUAGUGGGCAGUCAUAAGAUUUUUAUUUUAUGACAUGUUUAGGAGAAAGUACUGAAUGAAGCU